AUGCCACACUCCGAGAAAAAUAUCCGGCUCUAUACAACUGUGCACCACAAAGGUGAUACUAUCGCCACAGUAAUGGAAUCAUUUUCGCCAAAUGUGACGUUCAGAAGAGACUUAAUUGGACCCAGACUCCAAUCGUGGAAUAUCCUGCUCCAACGGUUGUCCAUGGUGCAAUUAUCACAUGGGUCUGAUGUAUUCCGAUGGAACCUCCAUGGGAAUGGACAGUUCUUAGUG
RNAcentral lists this ribosomal RNA (231 nucleotides) under Triticum aestivum (bread wheat). RNAcentral's name for it is "partial small subunit ribosomal RNA". The record is from RNAcentral. Lineage: Eukaryota; Viridiplantae; Streptophyta; Magnoliopsida; Poales; Poaceae.